UAAGCCUGUGAAGGUGUGUCGUGAGGCAUGCUGGAGGUAUCAGAAGUGCGAAUGCUGACAUAAGUAACGAUAAAGCGGGUGAAAAGCCCGCUCGCCGGAAGACCAAGGGUUCCUGUCCAACGUUAAUCGGGGCAGGGUGAGUCGACCCCUAAGGCGAGGCCGAAAGGCGUAGUCGAUGGGAAACGGGUUAAUAUUCCCGUACUUGGUGUUACUGCGAAGGGGGGACGGAGAAGGCUAUGUUGGCCGGGCGACGGUUGUCCCGGUUUAAGCGUGUAGGUGUGUGUUCCAGGUAAAUCCGGUUCACUUUAACACUGAGGCG
RNAcentral lists this ribosomal RNA (319 nucleotides) under Salmonella enterica. Its description in RNAcentral is "partial 23S ribosomal RNA". It matches the Rfam family "Bacterial large subunit ribosomal RNA", at positions 1243 to 1563 of the family's 2925-position model. Lineage: Bacteria; Pseudomonadati; Pseudomonadota; Gammaproteobacteria; Enterobacterales; Enterobacteriaceae. The record is from RNAcentral.